RNAcentral lists this ribosomal RNA (427 nucleotides) under uncultured bacterium. RNAcentral's name for it is "bacterial SSU rRNA". It matches the Rfam family "Bacterial small subunit ribosomal RNA", at positions 917 to 1345 of the family's 1533-position model. The record is from RNAcentral.
GGGCCCGCACAAGCGGUGGAGUAUGUGGUUUAAUUCGAUGCAACGCGAAGAACCUUACCAGGGUUUGACAUCCUGCGAAUCUCUUGGAAACAGGAGAGUGCCUUCGGGAACGCAGUGACAGGUGGUGCAUGGCUGUCGUCAGCUCGUGUCGUGAGAUGUUGGGUUAAGUCCCGCAACGAGCGCAACCCACGUCUUUAGUUGCCAGCAUUUAGUUGGGCACUUUAAAAGAACUGCCAGUGAUAAGCUGGAGGAAGGUGUGGAUGACGUCAAGUCAUCAUGCCCCUUACAUCCUGGGCUACACACGUACUACAAUGCUACGGACAAAGGGCAGCAAGUUCGCGAGGACAAGCAAAUCCCAUAAACCGUGGCUCAGUUCAGAUCGUAGGCUGCAACUCGCCUACGUGAAGGCGGAAUCGCUAGUAAUCGC